This is a non-coding RNA of Cladophialophora chaetospira, 146 nucleotides long. Lineage: Eukaryota; Fungi; Ascomycota; Eurotiomycetes; Chaetothyriales; Herpotrichiellaceae. The record is from the annotation of a GenBank genome assembly.
GGGUCGGUAGCUCAGCGGGUAGAGCGCUGGGGGAAUAUGGAUCCCUGGGUGAAACGGGACUCCUCUCUUCGAGAGAGGCGUUUAAAUAACCCCAACGCCCUGGGAUCCCCAUCCAGAGGUCCCAAGUUCGAAUCUUGGCCGGUCCA